Molecule: ribosomal RNA, 459 nt
Filed under: uncultured bacterium
Lineage: Bacteria
Description: partial 16S ribosomal RNA
Rfam family: Bacterial small subunit ribosomal RNA
Source: RNAcentral
AUUGAACGCUGGCGGCAGGCUUAACACAUGCAAGUCGAGCGGUAAGGCCCUUCGGGGUACACGAGCGGCGGACGGCUGAGUAGCGCGUAGGAACGUACCCCAAAGUGAGGAAUAAGCACCAGAAAUGGUGUCUAAUACCGCAUGUGGUCUUCGGAUUAAAGCCUUCGGGCGCUUUGGGAGCGGCCUGCGUAUGAUUAGCUUGUUGGUGAGGUAAUGGCUCACCAAGGCGACGAUCAUUAGCUGGUCUGAGAGGAUGAUCAGCCAGACUGGGACUGAGACACGGCCCAGACUCCUACGGGAGGCAGCAGUAGGGAAUUUUCCACAAUGGACGAAAGUCUGAUGGAGCAACGCCGCGUGCAGGAUGAAUGCCUUCGGGUUGUAAACUGCUUUUAUAGGUGAAGAUUAUGACGGUAACCUAUGAAUAAGGAUCGGCUAACUCCGUGCCAGCCGCCGCCGUAA